AUUGAACGCUGGCGGCAGGCCUAACACAUGCAAGUCGAACGAGUGGCGGACGGGUGAGUAAUGUCUGGGAAACUGCCUGAUGGAGGGGGAUAACUACUGGAAACGGUAGCUAAUACCGCAUACCAUCGGAUGUGCCCAGAUGGGAUUAGCUAGUAGGUGGGGUAACGGCUCACCUAGGCGACGAUCCCUAGCUGGUCUGAGAGGAUGACCAGCCACACUGGAACUGAGACACGGUCCAGACUCCUACGGGAGGCAGCAGUAGGGAAUCUUCCGCAAUGGGCGAAAGCCUGACGGAGCAACGCCGCGUGAGUGAUGAAGGUCUUCGGAUCGUAAAACUCUGUUAUUAGGGAAGCGUUACCCGCAGAAGAAGCACCGGCUAACUCCGUGCCAGCAGCCGCGGUAAUUC
RNAcentral lists this ribosomal RNA (406 nucleotides) under uncultured bacterium. Its description in RNAcentral is "partial 16S ribosomal RNA". It matches the Rfam family "Bacterial small subunit ribosomal RNA", at positions 30 to 526 of the family's 1533-position model. The record is from RNAcentral.